GGAAAAGGGACCAACUGGGAUUACCUUAGUAACGGCGAGUGAAGCGGUAAAAGCUCAAAUUUGAAAUCUGGUACUUUCAGUGCCCGAGUUGUAAUUUGUAGAAUUUGUCUUUGAUUAGGUCCUUGUCUAUGUUCCUUGGAACAGGACGUCAUAGAGGGUGAGAAUCCCGUUUGGCGAGGAUACCUUUUCUCUGUAAGACUUUUUCGAAGAGUCGAGUUGUUUGGGAAUGCAGCUCAAAGUGGGUGGUAAAUUCCAUCUAAAGCUAAAUAUUGGCGAGAGACCGAUAGCGAACAAGUACAGUGAUGGAAAGAUGAAAAGAACUUUGAAAAGAGAGUGAAAAAGUACGUGAAAUUGUUGAAAGGGAAGGGCAUUUGAUCAGACAUGGUGUUUUUUGCAUGCACUCGCCUCUCGUGGGCUUGGGCCUCUCAAAAAUUUCACUGGGCCAACAUCAAUUCUGGCAGUAGGAUAAAUCAUUAAGAAUGUAGCUACCUCGGUAGUGUUAUAGCUUAUUGGAAUACUGCUAGCUGGGAUUGAGGACUGCGCUUCGGCAAGGAUGUUGGCAUAAUGGUUAAAUGCCGCCCGU
RNAcentral lists this ribosomal RNA (583 nucleotides) under Hanseniaspora guilliermondii. Its description in RNAcentral is "eukaryotic LSU rRNA". It matches the Rfam family "Eukaryotic large subunit ribosomal RNA", at positions 55 to 652 of the family's 3401-position model. The record is from RNAcentral. Lineage: Eukaryota; Fungi; Ascomycota; Saccharomycetes; Saccharomycodales; Saccharomycodaceae.